AGAGACGCAACGCAGACGCUGCCCAGACUGCCCUGAAGAGGGCGCUGCUGCUCUGUCUGACAUUCUCCUCAACAGAACCAUAUUCUGAUCCUCUCAAGCUCUGUCUGGUUGGAUGGGGAGCGUCGCUGCACAGCAAUCUUCAGGUCUCUCCAGAGAUGUUCGAUCUGGUUCAAGUCCGGGAUAUGGCUGGGCCACUCAAGAACAUUCAGAGACCUGUCCCGAAGCCACUCCUGCGUUGUCUUGGCUGUGUGGUUAAGGUCAUGUCAUGUUGGAAGGUGAACCUUCGCCCCAGUCUUAGGUCCUGAGCACUUUGGAGCAUGUUUUCAUCAAGGAUCUUUCUCCCAGUCCCUGCUGCUCAAAAACAUCCUCACAGCAUGAUGCUGCCAAGAAUCCCUGAACAUAAAUAUAGUGAGCCCAAACCAGAAGUAAGAACCUGGAAGGUAAGACAUUCUAAGGCUCUUUCUUGCAUGAGAGGUGAAAUGAAAUUUUAUCACCAUUAUAUUUAAAUUAUUAUGACACACCCAUUUUGACUGUAAGAAUUAAUUAAAUAAAUUAAUGAAAUGACUAGAUGUAUAACAAUGUACAUGCAAGUCUGUAUGAAGGCUGUAUAGAAAGACCAGGGCAUGGUGAAUAUUCCCUGUUGUCUCAUAGCUCACAGAUCACUGCACCUGUACAUAGCUCAUCUGUAAAUAGCCCAUCCAAUCUACCUCAUCCCCAUACUGUAUUUAUUUACUUAUCUUGCUUCUUUGCACCCCAGUAUCUCUACUUGCACAUUCAUCUUCUGUACAUUCUACCAUUCCAGUGUUUAAUUGCUAUAUUGUAAUUACUUCGCCACCAUGGCCUAUUUAUUGCCUUACCUCUCUUAUCCUACCUCAUUUGCACAUGCUGUAUAUAGAUAUAAAUAUAAAAAAUAGUGAGAGUACAGUACAGGCUCUACUGGCUGUUGGAUGCAGUUGGAUGCUGAAGUUGGAUGCUGAAUGUACUCUUGAACUCUCUCUCAAAUAGAUCCUUCAAUCUUUCGCCCAUCACACGAAACUCUGCAUUGUCCUUCAUUAAAAAAAGACAGACACAUUUGUAGAGAAAACAUAAUAAACAAACUAGAAAUGCAAUAAACAACUCAUUUAGCAAAGACGCAUUAGCACAAGUAAAGUUGACUAGCAUAAUUCCAAGAUUUUCAUGGAGUCUUCACAUUGGAUACUGCCGUAGUGCAGUCUUACCCUGUUAAAUGUGGCACAGUUGGUGAAGAUAAGCAACACAUCAGACACAAAGUGUUGCACCGACUGGUAGAGAUUCUGCUGCAGCUUCUCCACAACCCUGUCCAGCCAUAUAGGGGUCUUUAUCACACUGGUGUAGUUUCUCACCUGGCAAUGAAACACACAGAUGGAGAUAUAUGUUAACUUUGACACACACACACACACACACACACACACACACACACACACACACACACACACACACACACACACACACACACACACACACACACACACACACACACACACACAGACACAUCUGCACACAGACAGACAUGCACACAGACACGCACACACAGAGAGAGAACCAAGCAAACAUACAUUGAUGCAAGGAUCUUUCACAAAGAUGUGGUCCUCAUCUGCAUGGUAGAGACACAGCAGGAGGUACUGGCAUUCCUGUCAGAGUAAACACACCAUUAUGUGACUGAUCAAAGACUGUUUACAUUUUAAGUCUGAAUAAUUAUUUAAUGUCAAGUAUAUAGUGAUAUUUAUAAUGGACAGACAGACCGAUAGGUCGAUUGAUUGAAGGCAAUUUGCCCAAUGGUAGAUAUCAUUCAUUCAGGCUCCUCACCAGUGGGUGGUCAGAGAUUCGGCAGUUCAAGGCUUCCUCGUAGGUAAUUUGUGUGGGGUAACGCCACGACUGACUGGCCCUCAGUACACAGAAUGUACACAACCACGGACGAUCAUCCCUGUGAUUACACACACACACACACACACACACACACACACACACACACACACACACACACACACACACACACACACACACAACAUUUCAAUAGUGCACAAAUAAUCUGACAGCUAAGUUUACCAACACAGAACAAACAUACCUCUCUUGUAUCAAUCUCUUUCUCUCACUCUCUCUCAUCAACCCUCAACUCUUCUCACCCCAGCAUAGCGUCAUCCACAUUAGGAAGAUGACAUCUCUGAUGGAAGGAGCGAGGACACUCAUCACAGCAUAUCAAGCUACCCCAGCUUCUACAGAUGAAGCAGUCGUCAUCGUUAUCCUGACCAUGAUGCCAAGACAGAGAAGAGAGGAAGGUGGCUGAGUGGUUUCCCAUCCCACUGGAUGUCGUUCUUCCAGGAUGGAUCUUCCAGAGCUGACUCCCCCUUCACAAACUCCACCGGGGUCAUCCAGCGCAGCUCCGUACGGAUGCUCUUUCCACACGACCCUGGGGCAACAGAGAAGAUAGGGGCAGAAGGACAAACUCAAAUGAAUCCAAUAUGGGUCACUACAGCUGACCAGAGUGACAUAGGGCUAUGGGACCUCCGAACCGUGGACGAGGAACCAGGGCGGUGAUCCUGGAUUACAUUCAGUUGUUAAAGGUGACUGGGAGCUGGGUCUUGUAGAUGGGCCAGGUCCAGAUGUCAUCUUUCUCCCCCUUCCUGGAAGCAAAACCUGCAUGGGGAC
Molecule: long non-coding RNA, 2664 nt
Organism: Oncorhynchus masou masou (cherry salmon)
Lineage: Eukaryota; Metazoa; Chordata; Actinopteri; Salmoniformes; Salmonidae
Exons: 6
Source: RefSeq, a predicted model, not a curated record